UACGAAGGGGGCUAGCGUUGCUCGGAAUCACUGGGCGUAAAGCGCACGUAGGCGGAUUGUUAAGUCAGGGGGGAAAUCCUGGAGCUCAACUUCAGAACUGCCUUUGAUACUGGCGAUCUCGAGUCCGGGAGAGGUGAGUGGAACUGCGAGUGUAGAGGUGAAAUUCGUAGAUAUUCGCAAGAACACCAGUGGCGAAGGCGGCUCACUGGCCCGGUACUGACGCUGAGGUGCGAAAGCGUGGGGAGCAAACAGG
Molecule: ribosomal RNA, 253 nt
Filed under: uncultured bacterium
Lineage: Bacteria
Description: partial 16S ribosomal RNA
Rfam family: Bacterial small subunit ribosomal RNA
Source: RNAcentral